CUUCAGAACAGCAAGAAAGCGCAGUUGAAUGAAACAUGAUGGGGGUCUCCUUUUAAAAGUUAUAACUUGACAUCACGUGUUUUAGAAGUGGUGCAAGAUGCAUGAUAGCACCAAAGCCCUUCUUCUAGUGCAUGUUUAUGUAGAAAAACAUUUAAAUCCAGAUAGGCAUAUGAAGGUGUCCUGUGUAAGGGAAUGAAUCCCCUAUGACAGGCCCAUCUCUCUCCUCUUCACCUGUCUGACUAACUGAGUGCCGGUGGGCAGGGCCAAGGGUGCAAUGACAGAAAUAGAUAUUGAUGUCUUGCUAAAGAGGCAGUCAUUUGCAGAUGUAUUUGGUCCUUGUGCCUUCACGAGUUCCACAAAUUCCAAAUGAGCCGUUUUUGCAGCUUCGUUAAAAUAAAUGCUCUUUAUCUAUUAAGGAGGAAGUUUUCAACUCUGAAACUUAAGUAUGUUUUUAUAUUAUAAUGACCCCUUAUGUCAAAAGAUCAAGGAAAAUUUGAUUCCUAAUGUCAUGACCCCUUUAACACUUUACAAUAAGGUUGUAAUAAUUAACAUUAGUUAAGACAAUAGUUACCAUUAACUAACAAUUAACAAAACUUUUACAGCAUUUAUUAAUCUCGGUUCAUGGUGAUUUCUACAUUUAGUAAUACAUUUUUAUAAUACAGUUAUAUACAUUAACAUUAUGUUUUGUGAAAUUACAUGAAUAAACAAUGACCAAUAGUAUAUCUAUAAGUGAACAAAUAACUUAAAAAAUGCUCCAUUAAUUAACCUGUUUAAUCCCAAUUUUUUGUGGGCACAUGUAUUUUAUUCCUUGGAUAGCCCAAUGAAAGAAACUGUGUUCAUUUUUUAUUAAAGAAUUAUAUCUUUAAGUUAUAUAUAUUGUUUAAGUAUAUGUUGUUUAAAAAGAUCUGUAAGAUCUGUAAUAUUUUAUUUACUUAGCCUGGUGUGGGUUGGCCUUUUUUAUUGAAUGAAGAGCAGAUCAUUCCUAAUAAAUUCUCCUUUACUCCACAAUAAAUUGUUUAGCAUGUUCAUCAUGUUAACCAUCUUGUCAAACUGCGUGUUCAUGACGAUGAGUGACCCUCCAGCCUGGAGCAAAACAGUAGAAUAUGUUUUCACUGGCAUUUACACCUUUGAGGCAUUGGUAAAGGUGCUGUCCAGAGGCUUCUGCAUUGGAAAUUUCACGUUCCUUCGAGAUCCGUGGAAUUGGCUAGAUUUCAUGGUCAUCAGCAUGGCGUACCUCACAGAGUUUGUGGACUUGGGCAAUGUUUCAGCUCUGAGGACCUUCCGUGUUCUUCGUGCCCUGAAAACAAUUACUGUAAUUCCAGGUCUAAAAACCAUUGUUGGCGCUCUGAUCCAGUCAGUGAAGAAAUUGGCAGAUGUCAUGAUUCUCACAGUCUUCUGUCUGAGUGUGUUUGCUCUCAUUGGCCUACAACUGUUCAUGGGAAAUUUGCGUCAGAAAUGUGUCCUGUGGCCUCCGAUUGGCUGGAACUACACAGAAGAUCUGACCAUGAACUUCAAUCAAACAGACUACAAUGACACUAAAGCUGCCAACAGCACAUUCAGCUUCCAGGAAUAUAUUGAAAAUGGAGAGAACCACUACUUUCUACCUGGUCAUUUAGAUGCAUUACUAUGUGGGAACAGCUCUGAUGCAGGGAAGUGUCCUGAGGGGUACACAUGCAUGAAAACAGGCCGAAACCCAAAUUUUGGCUACACCAGUUACGACAACUUUGCGUGGGCUUUCUUAGCUCUUUUUCGGCUUAUGACUCAAGACUUCUGGGAAAACUUGUUUCAACUGACCCUUCGUGCAGCAGGGAAGACCUACAUGAUCUUCUUUGUAGUCAUCAUCUUCUUGGGCUCGUUCUACCUGAUCAAUCUGAUUCUGGCUGUGGUGGCAAUGGCGUAUGCAGAGCAGAAUGAAACCACCAUAGCAGAAGCUAAAGAAAAGGAGGAAGAAUAUGCAAGAAUCCUGGAACAGCUCAAGAAACAAGCUGAGCAGAAGAGUGGGAUGGUAAAUGGCAGUAGGACCUCUCUGUCAAAUAAAAAGAAAGAUGAUGAUGACUACAACGAUCAUGAUGGGAUUGCAAUGAAACUCCUCUCAGGUGGGGAGAUGGGUCUUGAGGUUGCAAAGUCAAAUGGAUCAAAAGGAAGUAUUAACCAACUAAACAUCCCUGACAUGGGGAUAAGAAAACCAGUUGCAGUGAGCACUACAGACAAUGCUUUAGAUGAGUUGGAGGAUACUCAAAGGCCAUGUCCUCCCUGCUGGUACAAGUUUGCUGACAUAUUCCUAAAAUGGGAUUGCUGCAUGCCAUGGGUGAAAUUCAAGAAGCUUGUCUACUUAUUUGUGAUGGACCCUUUUGUGGAUCUGGGCAUCACCAUCUGCAUUGUGCUCAACACGGUGUUCAUGGCAAUGGAGCACUAUCCAAUGACUGUAGAAUUUGAAAACAUGUUGACUGUGGGAAACCUGGUUUUCACAGGUAUCUUCACAGCAGAGAUGAUCCUAAAACUUUUAGCAUUGGACCCAUAUUAUUACUUCCAGGUUGGCUGGAACAUAUUUGACAGCAUAAUUGUGACCAUGAGUCUGGUGGAGUUGGGCUUGGCCAAUGUCCAGGGCUUGUCUGUGCUGAGGUCCUUCCGUCUGAUGCGUGUGUUCAAGCUGGCAAAGUCUUGGCCCACUCUUAACAUGCUGAUAAAGAUCAUCGGAAACUCUGUGGGUGCCCUUGGCAACCUGACCCUCGUCCUGGCCAUUAUUGUCUUUAUCUUCGCUGUGGUGGGCAUGCAGCUUUUUGGAAAGAGCUACAAAGACUGUGUGUGUAAGAUCUCAGAUGAUUGCGAGCUGCCUCGCUGGCACAUGACAGAUUUCUUUCACUCGUUCCUCAUCAUCUUUCGUGUCCUGUGUGGGGAAUGGAUAGAAACUAUGUGGGACUGCAUGGAGGUGGCUGGCCAAGGCAUGUGCAUCGUCGUCUUCAUGAUGGUCAUGGUUAUAGGAAACCUGGUGGUAUUGAAUCUAUUCUUGGCUUUACUACUCAGCUCCUUCAGUGGGAACAACCUGUCAGCUUCUGAUGAUGAGGGGGAGAACAAUCUGCAGAUUGCCAUUUCUAGAAUCACACGAGGCAUUGACUGGGUAAAGGCCUUCAUUUCCAGACAUGCGAGACAGCUGCUGGGCCUGAAGCCAAAGGAAGAAUCCAAGAAAAUAAAUGAAGAGGGCAAUAAAUUUAACUUGAAAAUGGUGGAUGGGUGGGAUGACAAGGGUCACUCUGGUGGGGCUGUCUUGAAUUCCAGUAUGACAGUUAUCAAAGUCCCUAUAGCCAAUGGUGAAUCUGAUGAUGAUGGUGACAGCACUUCUGAGGAUGAAGACAAAGAGUCCAUCGAUGGAAAUGAAAAAAUUAAAGAUGGAGAUGAAUCUUCAACAUGCAGCUCAGUGGACAAACCUCCUGUGGUAGAAGAAGUGGAAGCAGAUGUUGAAGAGGAUUCCACCAUCCCUGAGGACUGCUAUACAGAAAAUUGCAUGAGGCGAUGUCCUUGCUUGGAUGUUGACAUUACCCAAGGUAAAGGAAAGGCAUGGUGGAACUUUCGUAAAGCCUGCUUUGCUAUUGUGGAACACAGCUACUUUGAAACCUUUAUCAUCUUCAUGAUCCUCCUCAGCAGUGGCGCUUUGGCAUUUGAGGACAUAUACAUUGAACAACGAAGAAUGAUUAAAAUCAUCCUCGAAUAUGCGGAUCAGGUCUUCACCUAUGUGUUUGUCAUUGAGAUGCUUUUGAAAUGGGUGGCCUAUGGCUAUAAGGUCUAUUUCACAAAUGCAUGGUGUUGGCUGGACUUUCUCAUUGUUGAUGUGUCUUUGAUCAGCUUAACAGCAAAUAUUUUAGGCUUCUCUGAACUGGGGGCCAUUAAAUCUCUCAGAACUUUGAGAGCUCUGAGACCUCUUAGGGCUCUCUCCAGAUUUGAAGGAAUGAGGGUGGUGGUAAACGCCCUGGUGGGGGCCAUCCCCUCUAUCUUCAAUGUUCUCCUGGUGUGCCUUAUAUUUUGGCUUAUCUUCAGCAUCAUGGGAGUGAAUCUUUUUGCUGGAAAGUACUACUACUGCUUCAACACAACAUCCGAAGAGAUGUUCCUUCCCUCUGAGGUCAACAAUAAGACUCAAUGCUUUGAGCUCAUAGAGGCUGGUAAUGAGGAUGUGCGAUGGAUGAAUAUGAAGGUCAACUUUGACAAUGUAGGCAUGGGCUACCUCUCCUUACUGCAAGUGGCAACUUUUAAAGGAUGGAUGGAGAUCAUGUAUGGUGCUGUGGAUUCCAGUGAUAUUGAAAUGCAGCCAGAAUAUGAGGCAAACCUCUAUAUGUACCUUUACUUUGUUAUUUUCAUUAUCUUUGGCUCCUUCUUCACCCUCAACCUAUUUAUUGGUGUCAUCAUUGAUAAUUUCAACCAACAGAAGGCAAAGUUAGGAGGUACUGACAUCUUCAUGACGGAGGAGCAGAAAAAGUACUACAAUGCCAUGAAGAAACUUGGCUCCAAGAAGCCACAGAAACCUAUUCCAAGGCCUGUGAACUGCUUUCAAGGCCUUGUAUUUGACCUGGUCACCAAGCAGUUCUUUGACAUCUCCAUUAUGGUGCUGAUCUGCCUGAACAUGGUGACCAUGAUGGUGGAGACAGAUGACCAGAGUGCAGAAAAAGAAGAAAUUCUGUAUCUUAUCAAUCUUGUCUUCAUUGUGCUCUUCACUGGGGAGUGCAUUCUAAAGCUCAUCGCCCUACGGCAUCACUACUUCUCCAUUGGGUGGAACAUAUUUGAUUUUGUAGUGGUCAUUCUUUCAGUCGUAGGUCUUUUGCUGGCAGACCUUAUUGAGAAGUACUUUGUCUCGCCUACCCUUUUUCGUGUCAUCAGACUGGCUAGAAUUGGCCGUGUUCUGCGGCUCAUUCGGGGUGCGAAAGGUAUCAGGACGUUACUGUUCGCACUAAUGAUGUCACUUCCUGCCCUCUUUAACAUUGGCCUGCUUCUUUUUUUAAUAAUGUUCAUUUUUUCAAUAUUUGGCAUGUCCAACUUUGCAUAUGUAAAGAAAGAAGCAGGCAUUGAUGACAUGUUCAAUUUUGAGACCUUUGGGAACAGUAUAAUAUGCUUGUUCAUGAUCACAACAUCUGCUGGCUGGGACGGACUUUUGUCACCUAUUCUCAAUAGCCCCCCAGACUGUGACCCAGAUAUAGAGAACCCGGGCUCGACAGUCAGAGGCAACUGUGGGAGCCCCGCAGUGGGAAUUGUCUUCUUCUGCAGCUACAUUGUUAUGUCUUUCCUCGUUGUGGUCAAUAUGUACAUAGCCAUUAUUCUUGAGAACUUCAAUGUGGCAACAGAGGAGAGCAGUGACCCCUUGUGUGAGGAUGACUUUGAGAUGUUUUAUGAAACAUGGGAAAAGUUUGACCCUGACGCCUCUCAGUUUAUAGAUUACAGUAUGCUGUCUGAAUUCUGUGACACAUUGAAAGAGCCACUGAGAAUCCCAAAACCAAACACACUUAAAUUGAUUACAAUGGACCUUCCAAUGGUUCCUGGAGAUAAGAUCCACUGUCUGGACAUUCUUUUAGCCCUAACUAAAGAGGUUCUGGGAGAUUCUGGGCAGAUGGAUGGAAUGAAAGCAACUAUGGAGGAGAAAUUCAUGGCAAACAACCCUUCAAAAGCUUCAUAUGAGCCAAUUACUAGCACUCUUAGACAUAAGCAAGAGGAGGUGGCCACUUCAAUUAUUCAGAGAGCAUACCGCAAACACUUGCUUAAACGCACCAUCAAACAUGCCUCGUAUAUCUACAGAGAGAAGACAGACUCAAAGAGAAAAGAUGAGGAGGCUCCGGAGAAAGUGGGGAUGAUAGCUAAGACAAUGAGCCGUCUCUAUGGAGAUCAGGCCAUUGAGGAUGACAACGACAAAGCUUCUGGCUUUUCUAUCCCUCAACAAGUGAAAAACCAGCCCAGGGGUUGGUGUCCAGUGGUCAAGGUUCAGAGUGAAGUAAUCUUGCACUCUGCCCCCUUUCCCAACCCUGACUCCUCAACCAAUAUGGAAGACUACAGGGAGUCCAUUGUGUAGCAUGUUCCACCCAUGGUAUAAAAUGAAGAUUUAGAAUGCACCACAAUACUGAGACCCCUGUUCAUCUUCAGAGUUAAAUCUUGGCACACAUAGCCAGUAUGAAAGAACUGUGAUGGCAAAGAAUUGCAUUCAAAUUAAUUGAUGCAGUUGAUGGGUCCUUGCGUAUCAGUACUGCCCUUGAGAAGACAAUCUCAAACUUUUAGUCAAAUGUCACUGGAAAUGAUUGGGCUUUAAGCUUGAUGCCCUAGUGCAGAUAUUAGAGUGACAUAAUAUUUAUUAUUAUUUUUUUAUCCACAGAACCAUAGAGAACACUAGAGAAGUGAAUUUAAUUAGAACUAUAUAUACUUUUCUAUAGCUAACAAUCGGAAGAUAUAUAUAUAUGUGUGUGUGUGUGUGUUUGUAUACACUUCCGGUCAAAAGUUUUGAAACACUUGACUGAAAUGUUUCUCAUGAUCUUAAAAAUCUUUUGAUCUGAAGGCGUAUGCUUAAAUUUUUUUAAUUCGUUUUGUAGACAAAAAUAUAAUUGUGUCACCAUAUUAAUUUAUUUCAUUAUAAAACUCAAAUGUAAUAAAAUAAUAAUAAUAAUAAUUUUUUGAAAUUGAUGACUUGGACCAAAUAAUAAAGAAAAGCAGUCAAUAAGUGCCCAACAUAGAUGGGAACUCCUUCAAUACUGUUUAAAAAGCAUCCCAGGGUGAUACCUCAAGAAGUUGGUUGAGAAAAUGUCAAGAGUACAUGUCUGCAAAUUCUAGGCAAAGGAUGACUACUUUGAAGAUGCUAAAAUAUAACACAGUUUUGAUUUAUUUUGGAUUUUUUUAGUCACAACAUAAUUCCCAUAGUUCCAUUUAUGUUAUUCCAUAGUUUUGAUGACUUUACUAUAUUCUAAAAUGUGAAGAAAAAAAAAAAUUAUAAUAAAGAAUAAGUGUUUCAAAACUUUUGACCGGUAGUGUGUGUGUGUGUGUAUAUAUAUAUAUAUAUAUAUAUAUAUAUAUACAUACACACACACACACAUACACAUAAGUAUAUAUAAUUUUAAUUGUAUAAAUUGUACGCACAACAAUAAUGGUCUGAAUUUAUUGCAUUUAAUAUGAAACUAUUUGUGAGAUUUAUGGUUAAUUUUACUUUUAAUUUUACUAAAUUACUUUUCAAUAGGAUAUAACAGUAGGUAUCGAAAUUAAUGUUUGUUCUGAUAAUGACUUCGCACUAAUAAUUUAUAAUAUUAAAAUAUUUAACAAUGGCAAAAUAGUCAAUUAAUCUGUAUUUAAUAAAGCAUAUUAUUCUUAAUAGUAUAAUUUUGUAUUAAACCUUACAAACAGUAAUUAUUGUGGCAGAAUUUUUAUACAACAGUACACUAGUAGUGUUGAAAUCACUUGUAAACACUGCCCAGUAAGCCUCAAGUCAAAUAAAAGUGAAAACUAUAGGUUGCCAAAAUAAAAAAUAAAAAAAUAAAAAAAAUUGUAAAUAUGGAUUCUGUAAUAUUUAACUUUUUGCCUAAUGAGCCUUUUUUGGGUUAUGGGAUAUAUUGGAAAUUGUUAACUCCAAGUAUAGAGUCUGUGAAGUCCUUUGCUUACUACUGUGGGUUGAAUUCAUUUUUUAUUUUUUACUUUACUUAGUUGUCCUUUAAUAUGAGCCAGAUGGGGGAUUGUGCGAUUUGCCCAGUAUAUAGUGGUAAAGGAGGGUAUAACUUUUAAUUAACCAAAGAAGGAAACGACAGUGCCAAAGCCAAUUGGCAUAUACAUAAAUAUCCAAAUAUAAAAAACAGAAUAUAAAUAAACAAGAAAUGCUGUUUAUGCACAGUAUACAAAGAACAACAGCAUUUAAGCAACACAUAACAACAUCUUUGGAUGCUAAGAGGCUAUAUUUGUAUUUUAUUUUUUAAUCAAACAUACGUUUUCUUAAAUGCUUGACUUUUCAUUGAAACUGUGAGAAUCUUGGUAUUUUUGGAGAUAAAUUUAAUUUGAUUAAACAUAUACUGCUAAACUAUACAGAGUUUAAUUAACCCCCCAGUCAUAUGUUUCUUAUUUGUUAGGCCUAUAUUAAAUAAAAUUAACGAACAUGAGUUGGAUUACGAAGUAAAUAAAUUUGCUUUUGUUUCUGAUGCUUUCAGGCUUUCACUUUUAUUUUAACUUUCAUAACACUAAUUUUUUUAAGUUUUUUUUUUUUUUUUACUUAUUUUUAUUUUUGCAAACCAAUGAUGAGUAGAGAGAUGGUGGGUUACAAGCACUAAUGAUGUAACCAUAAUAAUGUGAACAAAAGAAUGCACAUAGCAGAAUGCUAUUAUUCCAAGAAGCCAAAUGUUUAUUAUAUUGCAAAUGAAAGAGUUUUUAUUUUGUUUACUUUUAUUUUGUUUACUAUUUACUUUAUUGCUUCCUAAUAACCUAUAUUUUAAGGUUGCCUAGUUCAACAUUUGUUGAUUGAUAUGGAUGUUAAGUCUUAUAAAAUCCAAAUGAGCUAACACACUAAUAAAAAGUCUGAAGCUUCAAAAUAGGACAAAACAGAAAGAUUUAAGUUUUUAGUUCAAUGAUUAAAAAAAAAAAAAAGAUUAUUUUAGUACUUUAAUGUAACACUUUGUUUACUAAACAUUUGACACCUCUUGAUUACAGUAUCUGUUACUUUGUCGCACCUGCUGAAUGCAUGCUGUGGAUAAUGUCGCAUUUUCCACGUAUUGAAACAUCUGUACAUUUAACUGUAUAUUCUUCUUCUGUUUACAUUACUGGAAUAAACUUUUUUUUUAGUCUU
RNA transcript from Myxocyprinus asiaticus (Chinese sucker), 8782 nucleotides. It is a transcript of the gene named sodium channel protein type 4 subunit alpha B-like, with no coding region annotated. The record is from RefSeq and is a predicted model, not a curated record. The transcript has 24 exons. Lineage: Eukaryota; Metazoa; Chordata; Actinopteri; Cypriniformes; Catostomidae.